Molecule: long non-coding RNA, 3242 nt
Filed under: Mus musculus (house mouse)
Lineage: Eukaryota; Metazoa; Chordata; Mammalia; Rodentia; Muridae
Description: long non-coding RNA chr18:9711292-9714534
Source: RNAcentral
GCUGGGAUGUAGCCUGGGCAGCAGAAUCCUUACUUAGAAUGCCUUUUAAAUCUCCUGCAAGACAAACUUAGUAUGUGAUGGUUCUCAAGGUAGAAGUAGAAGCAUUGGAAGUUCUGUUCACCCUGUGCUGUGCAGGCCAGCUUGAGUUACUGAAACCUAUCACCAAAGGAAGAAAGAAAGAAAGAAAGAAAGAAAGAAAGAAAGAAAGAAAGAAAGAAAGAAAGAAGAGAAGAGAAGAGAAGAGAAGAGAAGAGAAGAGAAGAGAAGAGAAGAGAAGAGAAGAGAAGAGAAAGAAAAAAUAUAGCAGGUAACACAGUUUAGCUGCUGACUUCUGCACAUACACAUUUGUGAAACACUGCUUAGUAAUAUUACUUUACCUGCGCACUGCUCAGUGGUCUAUUUCUGCCUCCAUCAGUUUUCUCCCACACUCAGUCAGCUUGCUUUCUCGAAAAUUUUUGUGCUGAGUGGGAACCCCCUAGGAACCCCUUGUAUGCAGGAAAGGAGAAAUGCAGUGAGGCCUCUUUUCUUUUGCUAGUUGGGCAUCGAAGCUGCCCUUUUGCAGAGCUAAUUUACAACUUAAUUAUGCUUUUAACUUUUCAUUAACUUAGGGAUACUUGGCAUUCUUAAGCCGUGGCUUGAUUAUUGUUAAGUAUAGAUGUUCCCUGUGGUCUACCAUACAAUUUCCCCCAUGAUUUCCAUGUUUUCCCUUGCCCCAGGCCCCCAGCUUUUUGCCAUGGUGGCUUAUCAUCAAUGAUGGUGUGGCAGGAAUGGUAACUUUCAAGCUGGGCUACAACCAAGUGUCUAAUUUUCUAAUAAAUGCCUAUUUUCAUUAAAAUAUUAUUUCUAAACUUCUGAUGCCAGGGUACUUACACAGCCUUUAAAGUAUUAGCUUUUAGGUAAAACAGAUCUUCAAGUUUAGUAACAGAAAAAGUAUAUUUGGCCUUGGGUAAACCUGGCAUUGUGAAUCAUCCCUCUUGAUGGCAAAGACUUGGAGGAAGGAGUGAGGUUCCUAGAGAGGAAGCUCAGAGUGGUGACAAACCAGCUUUCCUGACAGACAAUGUGUUUCAUCACGAGGCAUAGGCUGUCUUAGCUUUCAGAGACUUGGCUGUGGCUACAAUGUAGGAGGACAGGAAAUAGGGUCCUAGGAAAAUAAAUACCAAAGAUGAUGCCCUUUCCUAUACAUGUCUGGUGGACUAAUAAUAUCCCCCAGUUGUCUGUGUGCCUGUCUGCCUGUCUGCCUGCCUGCCUCCUUCCUUCCUUCCUUCCUUCCUUCCUUCCUUCCUUCCUUCCUUCCUUCCUUCCUUUCUUCCUUCCUCCCUUCGGUUGUUUUUUUGAGACAGGAUUUCUCUGUGUAGCAUUAACUGUCCUGGAACUUGCUCUGUAGACCAGGCUGGGACAGAAGAUUGGGACAAUUCAAGUGGUUGGGACAAAAGGCAUGCUCCACCACCACCUGGCUUUUAUUUUUCCUGUUACUAAUAUCUAUUGUUUCUUGGGCUCCAACCAUGGUAGUCAUUGUUAUUUGUUGCAGGCAAAUAACUAUUCUUAUUUAUUAUUUGCAGACAGGCUUGGAGAGUUUGCCCUUUCAGUUCAAGGGCCCCAUGUGGUCAGUGGGAAGCAGUAUUCAAACUUACAGUCUGAAUGCAAUCAACAGAGUUGUCAAGAUAUUAUGUUAGUCAGUUCUUUGCUUCCACUUUAUGAAUCUCAAGCUUUGAACUCAGGUUGACAGACUUGGUGGCUUUUUCCCACUGAGCUAUCUCAGUGGCCCCUAAAAGGACAUAUUGUAAAAGAUACUCAGGAGUAGUUGACAUUCUGUUUAGAAAUGGUUUCAUUUGUUACUGCUGACAAAACAGUUUCUAAUCACACCAUCAACCCAACACUUUCAAUCAAGCAAUGAUUUGAUUUCUACUUAAACAGGUGUCAUUUGAAGAGCCAAAACCAAUAUAGUAUGUUGAAAAGUCUCUGCUGGUUGCUUAAGGGACGUUUUUUAAUUACAUAGCAGUGAAAGCCAAAGUAAGCAGAAAUUAGUAAUUCCACGUUUAAGAUCUCAAGGGUACUGGGGACUCUUAACCUCAGAAUUUAUCAUAAAAAUAUUUAACCACUGCUCUUAAAAAUAGAAUUGUGGUACUCAACAUGGAGGGAGGUUUUAAUUAAGCACACUUAUUGGACUUGGUAUUUUAAACAUGGCUCCUAUGUUUCCUAAAUGCAUUUAUAUCAUAACUAACUCAGUGUCUUAGGAAGCAAUGUUCAUCACCUCAGAGGCUGGUCAUUCAGCAUGCUGUGUAAAAAGUAGUUAGCAUUUGGCUCUACUGCAAAUGAGCAUUUCUCUGACCUUCUUUUCUUAAGGCGGUGCUGUUAGGAAACUUGCUGGGUUUUGUUUUUGUUUAUUUAUUUUAUGUAUAUUAGAAUACACUGUAGCUAUCUUCAGACACACCAGAAGAGAGAUUGGAUCCCAUUACAGAUGGUUGUGAGCCACCAUAGGUUGCUGGGAAUUGAACUCAGGACCUCUGGAAGAGCAGUCAGUGCUCUUAACUGCUGAGCCAUCUCUCCAGCUCAAAACUGGCUGUUGUUAAUAAGCGAUUUAUUAUUUGAAGGUUAAGACAACUAGCUUAAAAGUAGAUGAUCCAUGCUUUAAAUGAUUACCAACUCAUGAAGUAUAAUUAUGUUGAGCAAGCCAAAAAAUUGGACCUGGCAGUUUCUGGAUGGCCACAAGAGUGUGGACUAAGAAACCAGAGUGCCUGGUGAACACAAAAAAGUACUGAACCAUCUAGGGCCUCGGAUUUUUUGUGAAAUUAGAGCAGUAAUUGCUAUCUACCCAAGAGAGCUGUUUUGAGGGUGAAGCAUGUCAGUGUAAAUCAGUUAUUCAGAAUAGUGUCUAGUGUUCAAAACUCACUAUUGUAGUCACUGUAAUAGAAGACUGUAUUAUUAUAAUCUUCAGACAGUAAUUCCUGGUUAUGAAAACUUUAUAUUAAUUUAAUUGAGUGAUAGAGUUAGGACCUUGAAGGCAAGUCCUCAAAGUAGUUUUCAAACUACAGAUGUAUUGAUACUGCCCUAGGGUAGGAAUGAGCUGUCUAUGGGAAGAUGUGUUGGUACUGUGCCCUCUUCAGAUGCUGUAGUUCUUCCCACUGUCAUUCUUGUGAUGGUAUCAGAAUCAGGCCUACCCAGAAAACAGUCACACAGGGAAUAAUGGAGUAAUGGUACAACUUCCCUCUUGAUAAAAUAGUGGUUGAGUAUUUAAUUUACCC